AGGCACGUACUGUCAAUGGUAGACGACCGCCCUUACAAGGCGGGGGUUGUGGGUUCGAGUCCCACCGUGCCUACCA
Molecule: transfer RNA, 76 nt
Filed under: Acidobacteriota bacterium
Lineage: Bacteria; Pseudomonadati; Acidobacteriota
Also listed under: 2 other names
Description: tRNA-Val
Rfam family: tRNA
About the family: Transfer RNA (tRNA) molecules are approximately 80 nucleotides in length. Their secondary structure includes four short double-helical elements and three loops (D, anti-codon, and T loops).
Source: RNAcentral